This 405-nucleotide ribosomal RNA is filed under the name uncultured bacterium. Its description in RNAcentral is "partial 16S ribosomal RNA". It matches the Rfam family "Bacterial small subunit ribosomal RNA", at positions 28 to 526 of the family's 1533-position model. The record is from RNAcentral.
GACGAACGCUGGCGGCGUGCUUAACACAUGCAAGUCGAGCGGAGCGGCGAACGGGUGAGUAACGCGUGAGUAACUGCCCCCCUCUCUGGGAUAACAGUUGGAAACGGCUGCGAAUACCGGAUAGUGGGGGAUGACUCGCGUCCUAUCAGCUUGUCGGGGGGGUGGUGGACGACCAAGGCGACGACGGGUAGCCGGCCUGAGAGGGCGACCGGCCACAUUGGUCUGAGAUACGGCCCAAACUCCUACGGGAGGCAGUGGUGGGGAAUAUUGCACAAUGGGGGAGACCCUGAUGCAGCAACGCCGCGUGCGUGAGGACGGCCUUCGGGUGGUAAACCGCUUUCAGCCAUGACGCGUUAGUGGCAGAAGAAGCACCGGCUAACUACGUGCCAGCAGCCGCGGUAAUAC